CUCACGGGUCCCCCCUGCACACAGCCACUCAGCACACGACAAAGUGUUUCAGAGCGGGGAAAGAGAAGCCCGGAGCCGCCGAUCAUUUGACACGGGCUCACACUUGUCUGCAAACAUGGAGCUCUCGCCCUCCCCGGUGACAAACCAUCACACACCUCUGCGGUGCGUCUUCAAGUAGCCCCGUCACCUUCGCAUCAGUUAAGCGUCACGCAUCGUUCCUGCAAAGACUAUCGCGAGGUGACUUCUACGCUCUGGAUGCAUUUCAAAACAUGCUAACCAGCAUUCAGGAGGAAGAGACUAUACUACAAAGACUUUAGAGAUGUUUCAGUUGUCUCCCUCUUCAAAACUAAAGGCAACAAGGCAAACUGUGGCAACUACCAAGAUCUCUCAGGAAAGACAUUGGAAACACCAAGGCCUUUGAAUGGAGAAUCCUGUGAAAGGUACAUCCCAACCAUUGAGCACAUCUGCAUGAAACAUUGUCAUAGGAAAGCAGCAUCCAUCAUCAGAGAUCUCCACCACUCAAGUCAUGGUCUAUUUUCACUGCUGUCAUCAGAUAGAAGGUACAAGAGCCUCAGGACUCAUACCACCAGUUCAGGAACAUUUACUAUCUCUCAACCAUCAGGCUGUUGAAUAAAAAGAGAUAACUGCACUCAUUUACCCUAUCAUUGAAAUGCUCCUUCAACCAAUGAUCUCAUUUGAAGGACUCUUUAUCUCAUUAUCUCAUGUAGUCAUUACUUAUUGCUAUUUACUUAUAUUUGCAUUUGCACAAUUUGUUACCUUCUGUAUUCUGGAUGAUUUUUCAUUGAUCCUGUUAAUAGUUACUAUUCUAUAGAUUUACUGAGUAUACCCACAGGAAAAUGAAUCUCAGGGUUGUAUGUGCUGACAUAUAUGUACUCUGAUAAUAAAAUUUACUUUGAACUUUGAGCUUUCAAGAAUAGUUAAUAUCCAUCUCAUUCAGAUAAACUGGGAAGUCUGAGGGUUGGGCUAAUUUCACUUGCUCUCCUGCUAUGUUCAUUCCUCUCGGCAGCAAUGAGGCUGUGAACUGAUCCAUUGGCUGUCGUCUCUGUGAGUCUCUGUGGUGGUUAAGGUCUUUCUUAUUUUUAAUUGAAUUCUUCGUGUUUCUUGCUUUGCGGCUGCCUGUAAGCAAACAAAUUUCAAGGUGUAUAAUUUAUAUAUUUUUUGACAAUAAAUGUACCUUGAAUCUUU
Molecule: long non-coding RNA, 1206 nt
Organism: Hypanus sabinus (Atlantic stingray)
Lineage: Eukaryota; Metazoa; Chordata; Chondrichthyes; Myliobatiformes; Dasyatidae
Exons: 3
Source: RefSeq, a predicted model, not a curated record